GUCCUUAGUGACCAUGGUGCUGAGUCUCCAGUAACCCCAGGUCCUUAGUGACCAUGAUGCUGAGUCUCCAGUAACCCCAGGUCCUUAGUGACCAUGAUGCUGAGUCUCCAGUAACCCCAGGUCCUUAGUGACCAUGAUGCUGAGUCUCCAGUAACCCCAGGUCCUUAGUGACCAUGAUGCUGAGUCUCCAGUAACCCCAGGUCCUUAGUGACCAUGAUGCUGAGUCUCCAGUAACCCCAGGUCCUUAGUGACCAUGAUGCUGAGUCUCCAGUAACCCCAGGUCCUUAGUGACCAUAAUGCUGAGUCUCCAGUAACCCCAGGUCCUUAGUGACCAUAAUUCUGAGUCUCCAGUAACCCCAGGUCCUUAGUGACCAUGAUGCUGAGUCUCCAGUAACCCCAGGUCCUUAGUGGCCAUGAUACGUAGUCUCGUGGGAUCAUAUGAGGCCGGAACACAACAGCCCCUGCAGUGCUGUAGUGUACCUCCCAAAUGGAACACUAUGCCCUACAUAGUGCAGUUAGUUUGGGCCCUGGUCAAAAUAGGGUGGCAUUUGGGACAUGGAGCUGAUUCAUCAGGCUGUGGAGUGGUCUGGGCCAGCUGACUCAUAAAACCGUCUGGUCUGUGAAAGAACGAGUUCCUCUGUAACAAGGAUCCGUAUGUAUGAAGAUGGAGUGUCCCGUCACACGCUUACACUGGAGACCAGAGCUCUCACCAUUCUAAAAAGUAAUCCAUCCAGCAUAUAUAGGUUUCUUCGUACCACGUGGGAAUAGUUCCGAGGCCCUAAUGGUACCCUACCUCCUGUUCAGUGCUCUACUGUCUGACUAGGGCCCUUAGAGCUAGGAUUAGUAGUUAGAAUAGGGUGCCAUCUGAGACACAGCCUAAGGUAACAUCUAUUUAUACAGGAUCAAGGAUUGUGAAACUAAAGCUUCAUCAUGUGUAAAGAGACAUCUAAUGUAGCAUAUUCUUGUUAUUCAGGAUAAUCUGUUUUUCCCUCAUUGACACCCAGCUCUGUGCACCGUAUGGCUCAGAAGGUGGCUAUUUAAAGCCCUGUAACUUCUAUUCCCCUUGGUCCUACUUUCUUCUGUGUGUGUGUGUGUCCCCUGGUCUGUUGUGAAUGGUUUCUAAAAGUCACCUCUCUUUAU
Molecule: long non-coding RNA, 1140 nt
Organism: Oncorhynchus keta (chum salmon)
Lineage: Eukaryota; Metazoa; Chordata; Actinopteri; Salmoniformes; Salmonidae
Exons: 3
Source: RefSeq, a predicted model, not a curated record